RNAcentral lists this non-coding RNA (24 nucleotides) under Cricetulus griseus (Chinese hamster). Lineage: Eukaryota; Metazoa; Chordata; Mammalia; Rodentia; Cricetidae. The record is from RNAcentral.
AUCGCAACAUGAACAUCCUGCAGU